GGCCUCGAAGCUGAGUUCGCUAGAGCGUUGGCUGUACUAAAGCCCUCCCCUUGUUGGUGUGGGUUCAAAUCCCACCGAGGCCG
RNAcentral lists this transfer RNA (83 nucleotides) under Schistocephalus solidus. It matches the Rfam family "tRNA". From Rfam's summary of the family: Transfer RNA (tRNA) molecules are approximately 80 nucleotides in length. Their secondary structure includes four short double-helical elements and three loops (D, anti-codon, and T loops). The record is from Rfam by way of RNAcentral. Lineage: Eukaryota; Metazoa; Platyhelminthes; Cestoda; Diphyllobothriidea; Diphyllobothriidae.